RNA transcript from Gossypium raimondii (Peruvian cotton), 9682 nucleotides. It is a transcript of the gene named protein NETWORKED 1D, with no coding region annotated. The transcript is spliced from 6 exons. The record is from RefSeq and is a predicted model, not a curated record. Lineage: Eukaryota; Viridiplantae; Streptophyta; Magnoliopsida; Malvales; Malvaceae.
GAGAGAGAGAGAGAGAAACUCCAGUCUGAGGAACAACACUACACGAGGAGGAACAACAUUAUUUCCUGAAACCUUCAAGGCCAAACUCCCAAGGGACAAGCCUGUCAUUGCACUUUCACAAAAUAUCUGUGUUUUGUUUUUCAAAACACAUCACUAAAAUCGAAUAUACGCAAGGAAUACGAAGUAAACACAUAAAAUCGGAUUUUUAGUCAUUUUAAGACUUGUUAAUUUCUUUGUUUUGUUAGGUGCUUCACUGUUUUUAAUGGGUAUUCAUUUUUGUCUCCUGCCCCUCUGUUUUUGUUUUCUUCCCCCCCCCCCCGACAUGUUUUUCACAUAGCACCAAAACCCAGCACUGAAAAAGGCAACCAAAAGCAGCUGACAAAGAGAAAGUAAAGGAGAGUUGCACCAUUGAAAGAUCAUUCAAAGAAAUGGGUUGAGAAUCGAAAAUGCCGAACCCCAGCAGCUAAUAAUCAAAACCCAGAAAUCAUUCUCGUCUUUUUAUUAUACAGAUUCUAUGGUUACUUGUGAGGCAUUAGUUACCAGUAAUUACUUGCUUUGUUUCAUAUGUAUUUGGACCGUUGGAUUCUCUUGAUCAGGAAUUAAGCACAGGUACUGACUGUGACAUUUGAAGACUUGCAUAUUGUUUCUUAACAUCGAAAAUGGUUGUUUUGUUUUCAUAAAAAAAAAUGGUUUUCUUCUGAUCCAUCACCUCGUUUUCGGAAUCAAGAGUUGUAAACCGUAAUCUGUGGUUGGAAUAAGGAGGUGGUGGUGUUGAGUACUUGAGCCAUGGCGACUGUGAAGCACGCGGAUUCUAAAGGCAUGUAUUCAUGGUGGUGGAACAGCCACAUAAGCCCUAAAAAUUCAAAAUGGCUUCAGGAGAAUCUCACAGACAUGGAUGCUAAAGUCAAGCAAAUGAUCAAACUCAUUGAAGAAGAUGCUGAUUCCUUUGCUAGGCGAGCAGAGAUGUAUUACAAGAAACGCCCAGAGUUAAUGAAAUUGGUAGAAGAGUUUUAUCGAGCGUACCGUGCAUUGGCUGAAAGAUAUGAUCAUGCAACCGGGGUGCUUCGUCAGGCUCAUCAGACCAUGACAGAAGCAUUUCCAAAUCAAGUUCCCGUCGCACUUGUAGAUGACUCACCUGGAGGUUCUGCUACUGAGGUUUACCCCCGAACACCUGAGGUGCCACCACCAGUAAGGGCACUAUUGGAGCUUGACGAGCUGCAGAAGGGUGCUUUGGAACUCUCUUCACAUGCUAUCAAAAGGAAUAAAGCUUUCAUAGAAGGAUCUGAAUCUGUAACUAAUAGGAAGGGUCUGAAACAGUUCCAUGAUUUGUUUGGUUCUGAAGAAUCUACAAACCGUGUGAAGUUUAUGGAAGGUAGGGAAAGAAAAGGCCUUUUUUUUCAUGAUAGCGGGGAGAAAAAACAAAGUCUCCCAAACAAUGGGGGCCCUGAUCUUAGGGCUCGAGUCCCGUCCGAAUCUGAGAGAGUGACUAAAGCUGAAAUGGAAAUUUCCACCUUGAAGAGCGUUCUUUCUAAAUUAGAAGCUGAAAAAGAAGCUGGCCUACAAGAGUACCAGCAGAGUUUGGAGAGAUUGUCUAGUCUAGAGAGAGAAGUCUCUCGUGCACAAGAAGAUUCCUGGGGACUUAAUGAACGAGCAAGUCAAGCUGAAGUUGAAGUUCAGACUUUGAAGGAUGCCCUCACCAAAGCAGAGGUUGAAAGGGACGCAAAUCUUGUUCAAUACCAACAGUGCUUGGAAAAAGUAAAUAAUCUUGAGAAUAAUAUUUCUCAUGUGCAAAAGGAUGCUGGAGAACUGAAUGAGCGAGCUAGUAAAGCUGAAACUGAAGCCCAAGCCUUAAAGCAGGAUAUUGCCCGAGUAGAAGCUGAAAAGGAGGAUGCUCUUGCCCGUUACAAGCAGUGUUCAGAGAAAAUAAUCAAUCUGGAAGAAAAAUUAUUGAAUGCUGAAGAAAGUUUCAGAAGGAUGACUGAACGAGCAGAGAGAGUUGAAAGUGAACUUGAAACUUUAAAACAAGUAGUUUUUGAGCUCACCAAAGAUAAGGAAGUAGCUGAGCUUCAGUACCAGCGGUGCUUAGAGACAAUUUCUAGCCUGGAACACAAACUUGCUUGUGCCCAAGAGGAGGCUCAAAGGCUCAACAGUAAGAUAGAUGAUGGGGCUGCAAGCUUAAAAGGUGCUGAAGAAAGGUGUAGUUUGUUAGAGAGGACCAAUCGGAGUUUGCAUACUGAAUUGGAGUCUUUGGUGCAGAAGGUCGGGGAUCAGAGUCAAGAACUAACAGAGAAGCAGAAGGAAUUGAGGGGACUUUGGACUUCCUUACAAGAGGAGCGUUUGAGGUUUAUGGAAGCUGAAAUAGCAUUUCAAACUCUUCAGCAUUUGCACUCUCAAUCUCAAGAAGAACUCAGAUCAUUGGCGAUGGAGCUUGAGAAUAGGGCUCAAAUCUUACAGGUCACCGAAACUUGUAAGCGAAAUUUAGAGGAAGAACUACAGAGGGUCAAGGAGGAGAACAAGGGCCUGAAUGAACUCAAUUUAAGUUCAGUAAUGUCCAUCAAGAAUUUGCAAGAUGAAAUCUUAAGCUUAAGGGAGACUAUAGCUAAACUUGAAGCAGAAGUUGCACUUAGAAUGGACCAAAGAAAUGCUCUUCAGCAAGGAAUUUGCUGUUUGAAAGAGGAACUCAAUGCCUUUAGCAAGAGACACCAAGAUAUGACAGGGCACUUGGAGUCAGUUGGCUUAAAUCCAGAAACCUUUGCAUCAACUGUGAAGGAAUUACAGGAUGAGAACACAAAGCUAAAAUAUGCCUGUGAGAGAGACAGAAAUGAAAAGGUGGAUCUCCUACAGAAGUUGAAAACAAUGGAGAAACUUAUUGAGAAAAAUGCCCUUUUAGAGAAUUCAUUGUCAGAUUUGAAUGUCAUGCUAGAAAGUGUUCAUGGGAGAGUAAAGGCAUUGGAAGAAUCCUGUCAAUCUCUUUUGACAGAGAAAUCCACACUUGCUGCUGAGAAGGACGCACUUAUCUCUCAGUUACAGAUUGCAACUGAGAAUCUGGAGAAGCUUUCAGAGAAGAAUAACGUGCUGGAGAAUUUCCUUUUUGAUGUAAAUGUUGAACUUGGAGGAUUGAGGGUAAAGGUAAUGAGCUUAGAAAAUUCAUGCCUACUGCUUGGUGAUGAGAAGUCUGGCCUGAUAAGACAAAGAGAAGGCUUGAUUUCUGAGUUGAGUAUCAGUCAGAAAAGGUUAGAAGAUUCGGAAAAAAGAUAUCGGGGUUUAGAAAAAAAAUACAUGGGCCUGGAGAAAGAGAGAGAAUUAACACUUAGUGAAGUAGAAGAGCUACAAAAGUUACUAGAUGCAGAAAAGCAAGAAUAUGCCAGUUUCAUGCAGUUGAAUGAAACCCGAGUUACUGCUAUGGAAUCUCAGAUCCGUUUUCUACAAGGGGAAAGUCUAUGCAGAAAGAAAGAAUAUGAAGAGGAAUUGGAUAGGUCCAUGAAUGCUCAUGUAGAAACCUUCAUCUUGCAGAAAUGUGCACAAGAUAUGGAAGAGAAGAAUUUAUCCCUAUUGCUUGAGUGUAGGAAACUCCUAGAAGCCUCCAAUUUUUCUGAAAAACUUAUCUCUGAAUUGGAGCUCAGAAAUUCUGAAAAAGAGAUGGAGAUAAAAUCCUUAUUUGAUCGAAUUACUAUACUGAGGAUGUGGCUUUAUCAAAUACUGAUGGCUCUUGAAAUUGAUGUCCAUGGUUAUGAUGAUGAGAUCAAACAAGACCAAUUAGUUAUUGACUGUAUAUUUGGAGGGAUCCACAAGAUGCAAAACUCACAUUUAAAGUCUCUAGAUGAUAAUCAGCAAUUCAUAAUUGAGAAUUCAGUUCUUAUUGGAUUGCUUGGGCAACUGAAACUUGAGGCAAAAAAUCUUGCUACAGAGAAGAACUCACUGCACCAGGAGUUGAAGGUUCAGUCCGAGCAGUUCCCAAAAUUGAAGACUUCCCUUUUUAAUACAAAUGCUGAACUUGAAAUAUCAAGAGCAAAACUUAAGAGCUUAGAAAGUUCAUGCCUGCUGCUUGGUGAAGAGAAGUCUGGCCUGCUAACACAGAGAGAAGGUUUGAUAUCUGAGUUGAAUGUCAGACAAAAAAGGUUGGAAGAUUUGGAGGAAAGAAAUCAAGGAUUAGAAGAAAAAUAUGUGAGUCUGGAGAAAGAGAUAGAAUCAACACUUUGUGAAGUAGAAGAGCUACAAAAGUCACUAGAUGUGGAAAAGCAAGAAUAUGCUAGAUUUGUGAAGUCGAAUAAAGCCCGAGUCACUUCUAUGGAAUCUCAAAUCCAUUUUCUACAAGGAGAAAGUCUAUGCAGGAAGAAAGAAUACGAAGAGGAACUAGACAAGGCCAUGAUUGCUCAUGUAGAAACCUUCAUUUUGCAGAGAUGUGCACAAGAUCUCGAAGCGAAGAAUUUAUCCCUAUUGCAAGAGUGUAGCAAACUCUUGGAAGACUCCAGAUUAUCCAAAAAACUUAUCUCCGAGUUGGAGCUUAGAAAUUCCCAAAAACAAGUGGAGAUAGAAUCUUUAUCUGAUCAAAUCACUAUACUGAGGAUGGGGCUCUAUCAGAUGUUGAGGACUCUUGAUUUUGAUGCUAUCCAUGGUUAUGAUGAUACAAUCAAACAAGAUCAAUCAGUUCUUGACUGUAUAUAUGGCAGGAUCCAAAAGAUGCAAAAUUUACUUUUAAAGUCUCUGGAUGAAAAUCAGCAAUUCAUAAUUGAGAAUUCAGUUCUUAUUGGAUUACUUGGGCAACUGAAGCUAGAGGCUAAAAAUCUUGCAAUAGAAAAUAACUCACUGCAUCAGGAAUUGAAGGUUCAGUCUGAGCAGUUUUCAGAAGUGAAGAAUUAUCUUUGUGAUGCAAAUGUUAAAGUUGAAGGAUUGAGUACAAAAUUAAAGAGCUUAGAAAUUUCAUACCAACUGCUUGGUGAUGAGAAGUCUGGUUUGCUAACACAGAGAGAAGGUUUGAUUUCUGAGUUGAAUAUCAGUCAGAAAAGGAUGGAAGAUUUGGAAAAUAGAUAUAAGGGAUUAGAAGAAAAGCAUGAGGUCAUGAAAAAAGAGAGAGAAUCAAUGCUUCAUGAAGUAGAAGAACUACAAAGGUCAUUAGAUGCUGAAAAGCAGCAACAUGCUAGUUUUGUGAAGUUGAAUGAAACCAGGGUUACUUCUACGGAAUCUCAGAUCCAUUUUCUACAAGGAGAAAGUCUGCACAUGAAAAAAGAAUACGAAGAGGAGCUAGAUAAGGCCAUGAAUGCUCAUGUAGAAACCUUCAUCUUGCAAAAAUGUGCACAAGAUCUAGAAGAGAAGAAUUUAUCUUUGGUGCUUGAGUGUAGGAACCUCUUGGAAGCCUCUAAAUUAUCAAAAGAACUUAUAUCAGAAUUGGAGCUUGGAAAUUCCAUAAAACAGACAGAGAUAAAAGCCUUGUUUGAUCAAAUUUCUAUACUGAGGAUGGGGAUUUAUCAGAUGUUGAGGACUCUUGAAGUUGAUGCUAUCUGUGUUUAUGAUGAUACGAUCAAACAAAACCAAUCAGUUCUUGACUGUAUAUUUGGUAGGCUUCAAAAGAUGCAAAAUUCACUUCUAAUGUCUCUGGAUGAAAAUCAACAAUUCAUAAUUGAGAAUUCAGUUCUUAUUGGAAUUCUUAGGCAGCUGAAACUAGAGGCUGAAAAUCUUACAACUGAAAAUAAUUCACUACGUAUGGAGUUGAAGGUUCAGUGUAAGCAGUUUUCAGAACUUCAGAACAAAGCUGAAAAAAUUGCAGAUAUGAAUGAAGAAUUGAGAUUAAAAGUGAUAGAGGGAGUUCAAAGAGAAGAAAGUUUGCGGACAGAAAUAGGGAGUGUUUGUGAGCAACUAUCAGAGUUGCAAAGGGCAUAUCAAAGUUCAAUUGAAGAGAACCACAAGGUGCUAGAUGAGAAAAGGACUUUGGUGAAGGAAGUUUCAGAUUUGGGCAAUGAGAAACACAAUCUAGAAGAGGAAAAUUGUGCUGUCUUUGCCGAAGCAAUAUCUCAAAGUAACAUUGCUCUUAUUCUCAAGAAUAUUAUUACUGAUAAUUUUGUGGAAAUAAAGCAUCUCUGUGCCAAUCUGGAUAAACUCAAAUGUUUCAAUGACGAUCUUGAGGGAAAACUGAGGAUAAUGGAGAUCAAGCUUGAAGAAACGCAAAUGGUAAACUUACAUCUCAAGGAUACAAUGCAAAACUUGGAGAAUGAGCUAGUUGCAGUUAGAUCUGUUUGCAAUCAGUUAAAUGACGAAGUUGUGAAGGGAAAUGAUCUAUUAUGCCUGAAGGAGAAGGAGCUUUUGGAAGCAAAGAAGAUGCUCAGUGCAACUCAAGAGGAGAGAACCCAACUGCAUGAAGUUGUGGAGGAUCUGAAGACUAAAUAUGAGGAAGUCAAGCUGAUAGGAAAAUAUCAAAAGAAGCAAAUUCUGAAACUGUCUGGAGACUAUGAUAUUCAAAACAAGGAGAUUGAAAGCAUUCGUCAGACUAAUCAGAGUUUUGAGGCUGAGUUAUCGAAAUUGCAUGAAGAACUUGAAGAAUGGAAAUGUAGGGAAGAGAGUUUGCGUGUUGAACUACAAAAGAGAAGAAAUGAGGUUGAACUUUGGGAGACUCAAGCUACUGCAUUGUUUGGUGAGCUACAGAUUUCUACUGUCCGUGGAGCAUUGCUUGAGGAAAAGGCUUGUGAGCUCAGUGCGGAACGUGAAGUCCUUGAAAGUAGAAGUAAGUCCAACGCUAUGGAAGUAGAAGAGCUGGAAAAAAGUGUUAGAAUCUUGGAAUGUGAGAAUGGAGGACUUAAAGCUCAGUUGGCAGUAUAUGUUCCAGCUGUUGUUUCUCUCUCCGAAAGUGUGACAUCUUUGGAGAGUCGAACUCUCUUGAAUCCUAAACUUACCACAGAUCAUAACCAAGUAAAGGACGCCACUCUAGGGACUGACUUGCAUGUUGAUAAUUGUCAACAAACAAAUGAAGUUCGAAUUGCCACAGUUCCAGAUGGUUGUUUUGACUUGCAGGGUAUCAACAUGAGAAUUAAAGCUAUUGAAAAAGCAGUGUUGGAAAUGGAAAAGCUUGCAAUGACGGAAAACUUAAAUCUCAAUUCCAAACUAGAGACUGCUAUGAAGCAGAUGGAAGAUUUAAGAAAUGGAAGCAGCUCAGGUCAAGAAAAUGUUGGAGUAAAGAGGCAUGUGAAUGAUAAACAAGUACUGGAACUUGGCCAGGGACUCGGUAACAAUGUCAAAACGCAGAGACUGAUACCUGAAAUCAUUGAAGAGUACAAUGAGAUGAUGACAAAAGAUAUUAUGCUUGACCAGGUAUCUGAGUGCUCAUCUCAUAGGUUAAGCCGGGGAGAAAUUUCAGAAGCUGAUGAUCAGAUGCUUGGGUUGUGGGAAGCCAGUGACCGUGAUGGUAACAUUGAUUUGAGUGGUGAUAAGGCCCAGAAGAUUAUCACCGGACCAUCUGACCAUCAACAAAUUGAUACAGUAAAAGUACACAAUGGCAGUCAGCACUCUACGAAAUCUCAUGUCAAGGAGUUGGGUGUAGAUAAAGAGAAAUCUAAGAGAUUUACAGAGCCAAACCAAGAAGAAAAGAAGAGGAAGAUUUUAGAAAGACUUGAUUCUGAUGCUCAAAAGUUGGCUAAUCUUCAGAUAACUCUACAGGAUCUGAAGAGGAAGGUAGAGAUAACUGAGAAGGGCAAAAAGGGAAAAGAAAUUGAAUAUGGUACGGUAAAAGAGCAGCUAGAAGAAAUUGAGGAAGCUGUCAAAAAACUAUCUGAUUUUAAUCGCAAAUUGAUAAUGCAUGCUAGAGACCCUUCACGGUCCCUUCUUGAUGGGAAAUCUGCAAUAGAUUCUGAUGGGAGCGGAAGUGGUAGGAGGCAAGGAAUAUCAGAACAAGCUCGAAAAGGGUCAGAAAAGAUUGGGCGCUUGCAGUUAGAGGUGCAGAAAAUACAGUUUCUCUUACUGAAGCUUGACGAUGAAAAAGAAAGUAGAGGUCGAACCAAAAUCACUGAACACAAAACAACUGUUUUAUUGCGAGACUAUCUUUACGGUGGGGUAAGAAACAUCAAGAAGAGGAAGAACUCACCCUUUUGUGCAUGCGUGCGACCCCAAACUAAAUGAGAUCAAGGUAAUUACGUAUCAUGGGCACAUAAUUAGUGUAGUUUACCAAUAAUGAGACUAGUUGCAUUGUCAAUAAUGUUCAUCUUCCUAGUUUUGCAUUUCACAUAUCUAAUGUCUUAGAGAAGCUUUCAUCUUCUUUAGUUUCGAGAUCCUACUGUAUAUUUCAGGCACAUCAAAAUGAAAAGAAGCUGCACUUUUAUAGCCUAAAAACUUCCCUUUCUUUAUAAAUUUACCUUGGUAUAAAUCCUAGAUUUCAUUAGAAAUGAUUUUCUUCAGGGCCAAUAAAUAUUGCUUUGCAAUGCUUAAUACUAGCUUUUGAAGUUAUUUCACUUUGUUGUGGAGUGAGCUCUUUUGCAGGGAAACAUUUAAAGUCAUGGCAUUUUCAGCUCAGAUUUAGGUUCAUUAAUGUUUGUAAAACCCGGGAAUGAAAUUAUUGUUGUAGCUAUUUUUAGGUUUUUAGUGUGAUAGCCCGAAAUAGGGCCUAAUCGGAACAGUGGUUUCGUAACCAUAAAUCCGAAGUGAAAUAGUUUAAUUUUAUAAAUUUUUAUUAAUUACCGAUUGAUUGAAAUAUUGUGUGAAAAUAUAGAUAUGAAAUUUUAAUGAUUUAGUGCCUAAUUGAAUUUUUAGGACUAAAUUGAGAAAAAAUGCAAAGGGUCUAUAAUUAGUGAUUAAAUGACUUAAUUGAAUUAUUGCAUGAAAUUGGAAGUGUUUAUGUGGCAAAUAGACCAUAAAUUAGUGUUAUGGACACAUAAGGGUAAUUCUAGAAAAAUAUCUAAGUAAGUGGGUCAAGGGCAUUUUUGUCAAAAUUGAAUAAAAGACAAAAUAAAAUGAAAACAAGUGUUCAUCUUCUUCAAAAAAAAAAGAGCUUGCUGCUGAAAAUUUCAUGUCCUAAUAGCUAGGGUUCUUGAUUUUUCUAAGCUCAAUUAUCAAGAAAGAAGAAAUAGUGGAAGUGAUCGGGGAAAAGAGAAGGUCAUCGACUAAUUUAUGAAAAUAGUCGUUUUGCAUCCGAGGUAAGUUACGUGUAAAUAAUAGCAAUAUAUUUUUAUAAAUUGUGAAUUAUAUUUGAUAUGUGAAUUAAUAUUGAAUGUGGAUGGAAAAUUGUUGAUGAAUUAUUCAAGUGAUAAAGUGUUUAAAAUAAAGUGUUAAAUGUAAAUUCCCGGUUGAACUUAGGAAUAGAAGUGGAUACAAGUGACAUGUCACUAGAGACCAGUGUUACAGUGAGUCCCGGGUGCUGGGUGAUCUAGCAUGUGUUGCGAUUGUGUGAGCAGGCCCGUGGACAUUUCCAGUGUUAUUGAUCAGUGGUAGCUUCGGCUACAUACCAGUGUGGCAUUUAUGUGCUAAUUCUCUACGUAUCCGUGUAUAUUCCGAGUGUUCAACGGGAUUAAUAAUGAGUUAAAAUGAACAUGAAAUGAAGUGUGUAUGCAGGUACAUUUGAAAGAAUGAGCAUAUGUGAUAAAUGUUAAGUGUGUAAAUGUAUUGUGCAAGUGAAUUGGUAAGAUUGUGCAUGUGUAAGUGAUUAAAAUUGCUAAGAAAUGUAUUGCUUAGUUAUAUGUUAAAAAUGUUAAUUAUUAAAUGAGUA